Molecule: long non-coding RNA, 615 nt
Organism: Folsomia candida
Lineage: Eukaryota; Metazoa; Arthropoda; Collembola; Entomobryomorpha; Isotomidae
Exons: 2
Source: RefSeq, a predicted model, not a curated record
CCGCGAGCGGAGGUCAAAUUUAGUUCGAUAUUCUUUCAUUCCGGCCCUCAGAUCUUUAGACAUUAUCGGUGUUGAGUAGAAUACAGGAGUGAAUAUUGCUUGAAUGUGUAAGCUGAACAGAAUGGAGGAUUGGGCAAUCAUUAUCCAGUAUCCGAACGAAAGAAGAGCCAGGAUAACGUGUCGAUCCUCUGGGAUCAACGAUGAGAAAUACAUCGGAUAACGUGGUGCUGCCGCUACAUGUGACGCAAGUGCGAUAGGAAUGCUCAUCAUGAACAGUGUCCUAUGCAGACAUACAGUAGCACAACGAAGUUAAACAAACACUGCCUAGUUAAGCUCAACCUUUCUUACCGUAAUAUCUUCUUAAAUAGGUUAGCAGCAUGUUUAAGAGGUCAGAUGUGUCCUGAGCUUGAAAAAUGGUCACCAUCAUCAGGAGAGAAGUAAACAUAACGUAACUAUCAAUUCAAUAUUCAAUAUUCAAUUUAUUAGCAUUUGAUAUGGCCAUGAGCCCUCAUCAAUAGAAAUUACAGAGCUAGAUAUGUAAAUGUAAAUAAAGUAAAGUAGUCAGAGGAAUAGUGGGAAAACCUGGCUAUGGUGUAGAGCCAGGAAAACCACUAU